RNAcentral lists this ribosomal RNA (289 nucleotides) under uncultured bacterium. Its description in RNAcentral is "partial 16S ribosomal RNA". It matches the Rfam family "Bacterial small subunit ribosomal RNA", at positions 773 to 1060 of the family's 1533-position model. The record is from RNAcentral.
GUGGAUUAGAUACCCUGGUAGUCCACGCCCUAAACGAUGUCUACUAGUUGUCGGGUCUUAAUUGACUUGGUAACGCAGCUAACGCGUGAAGUAGACCGCCUGGGGAGUACGGUCGCAAGAUUAAAACUCAAAGGAAUUGACGGGGACCCGCACAAGCGGUGGAUGAUGUGGAUUAAUUCGAUGCAACGCGAAAAACCUUACCUACCCUUGACAUGUACGGAACCCUGCUGAGAGGUGGGGGUGCUCGAAAGAGAACCGUAACACAGGUGCUGCACGGCCGUCGUCUACU